UACAGAGGUGGCAAGCGUUACUCGGAAUUAUUGGGUGUAAAGGGCAGGUAGGUGGCUUGGUAAGUGAGAGGUGAAAUCCUGCGGUUCAAUCGCAGAACUGCCUUUCAAACUGCCUGGCUUGAGAGCGACAGAGGAAGACGGAAUUCCCGGUGUAAGGGUGAAAUCUGUAGAUAUCGGGAAGAACACCAACGGCGAAGGCAAUCUUCUGGGUCGCUUCUGACACUGAGCUGCGAAAGCUAGGGGAGCAAACAGA
RNAcentral lists this ribosomal RNA (253 nucleotides) under uncultured bacterium. Its description in RNAcentral is "partial 16S ribosomal RNA". It matches the Rfam family "Bacterial small subunit ribosomal RNA", at positions 524 to 776 of the family's 1533-position model. The record is from RNAcentral.